Molecule: ribosomal RNA, 420 nt
Filed under: uncultured delta proteobacterium
Lineage: Bacteria; Deltaproteobacteria
Description: bacterial SSU rRNA
Rfam family: Bacterial small subunit ribosomal RNA
Source: RNAcentral
CCCGGGGCUCAACCCCGGACGUGCAUUUGAAACAGCAAUACUUGAGUACGGGAGAGGAAAGCGGAAUUCCUGGUGUAGAGGUGAAAUUCGUAGAUAUCAGGAGGAACACCGAUGGCGAAGGCAGCUUUCUGGACCGAUACUGACGCUGAGGUGCGAAGGCGUGGGUAGCGAACAGGAUUAGAUACCCUGGUAGUCCACGCAGUAAACGAUGUUCACUAGGUGUAGCGGGUAUUAAAAUCUGCUGUGCCGCAGUUAACGCAUUAAGUGAACCGCCUGGGGAGUACGGUCGCAAGACUAAAACUCAAAGGAAUUGACGGGGGCCCGCACAAGCGGUGGAGUAUGUGGUUUAAUUCGACGCAACGCGCAGAACCUUACCCAGGUUUGACAUCCCGGGAAUUUCGCAGAAACGUGAUAGUGCCC